Molecule: ribosomal RNA, 360 nt
Filed under: Penicillium sp. FLS-2010
Lineage: Eukaryota; Fungi; Ascomycota; Eurotiomycetes; Eurotiales; Aspergillaceae
Description: eukaryotic LSU rRNA
Rfam family: 5.8S ribosomal RNA (bases 64-217)
Source: RNAcentral
CCGCCGAAGCGCUCUGUGAACCCUGAUGAAGAUGGGCUGUCUGAGUACUAUGAAAAUUGUCAAAACUUUCAACAAUGGAUCUCUUGGUUCCGGCAUCGAUGAAGAACGCAGCGAAAUGCGAUAAGUAAUGUGAAUUGCAGAAUUCCGUGAAUCAUCGAAUCUUUGAACGCACAUUGCGCCCCCUGGCAUUCCGGGGGGCAUGCCUGUCCGAGCGUCAUUUCUGCCCUCAAGCACGGCUUGUGUGUUGGGUGCGGUCCCCCCGGGGACCUGCCCGAAAGGCAGCGGCGACGUCCGUCUGGUCCUCGAGCGUAUGGGGCUUUGUCACUCGCUCGGGAAGGACUGGCGGGGGUUGGUCACCAC